RNAcentral lists this ribosomal RNA (505 nucleotides) under uncultured bacterium. RNAcentral describes it as "partial 16S ribosomal RNA". It matches the Rfam family "Bacterial small subunit ribosomal RNA", at positions 28 to 507 of the family's 1533-position model. The record is from RNAcentral.
GACGAACGCUGGCGGCGUGCCUAAUACAUGCAAGUAGAACGCACAGUUUAUACCGUAGCUUGCUACACCAUAGACUGUGAGUUGCGAACGGGUGAGUAACGCGUAGGUAACCUGCCUGGUAGCGGGGGAUAACUAUUGGAAACGAUAGCUAAUACCGCAUAAUAUUAAUUAUUGCAUGAUAAUUAAUUGAAAGGUGCAAUUGCACCACUACCAGAUGGACCUGCGUUGUAUUAGCUAGUAGGGGAGGUAACGGCGCACCUAGGCGAGGAGACGGAGCCGACCUGAGAGGGUGGUCGGCCAGCCUGGGACGGUGACACGGCCCAGACGCCUUCGGGAGGCAGCAGUAGUGAAUCGUCGGCAAGGGACGGAAGUCUGACCGAGCAGCGCCGCGGGAGUGUGGAAGGUUGUCGGGUCGUAGAGCUCGGUUUUCAGAGAAGAACGGGCGUGAGAGUGGAAAGUUCACACUGUGACGGUACCUGACCAGAAAGGGACGGCUAACUACGUG